UGGGUGACCUGCCCUCAGCUCUGGGAUAAGCCUGGGAAACUGGGUCUAAUACUGGAUAUUCACUUCUCAUCGCAUGGUGGGUGGUGGAAAGUUUUUUCGGCUGGGGAUGGGCCCGCGGCCUAUCAGCUUGUUGGUGGGGUGAUGGCCUACCAAGGCGACGACGGGUAGCCGGCCUGAGAGGGCGUCCGGCCACACUGGGACUGAGACACGGUCCAGACCUCCGUACGGGAG
Molecule: ribosomal RNA, 231 nt
Filed under: uncultured bacterium
Lineage: Bacteria
Description: partial 16S ribosomal RNA
Rfam family: Bacterial small subunit ribosomal RNA
Source: RNAcentral